AUUGAACGCUGGCGGCAGGCCUAACACAUGCAAGUCGAGCGAGCGGAGGACGGGUGAGUAAUGUCUGGUAAACUGCCGGAUGGAGUGGGAUAACUACUGGAAAAGGUAGCUAAUACCGCAUUCCAUCAGAUGUGCCCAGAUGGGAUUAGAUAGUAGGUGGGGUAACGGCCCACCUAGGCGACGAUCCCUAGCUGGUCUGAGAGGAUGAACAGCCACACUGGAACUGAGACACGGCCCAGACUCCUACGGGAGGCAGCAGUGGGGAAUAGUGCGCAAUGGGCGCAAGGCUGAUGCUGCCAUGCCGGGUGUGUGAAGAAGGACCGCGGGAUGUAAAGCACUUUCAGCGGGGAGGCGUUGCACGCAGAAGAAGCACCGGCUAACUCCGUGCAAGCAGCCGCGGUAAUAC
RNAcentral lists this ribosomal RNA (406 nucleotides) under uncultured bacterium. Its description in RNAcentral is "partial 16S ribosomal RNA". It matches the Rfam family "Bacterial small subunit ribosomal RNA", at positions 29 to 526 of the family's 1533-position model. The record is from RNAcentral.